This 461-nucleotide ribosomal RNA is filed under the name uncultured bacterium. RNAcentral describes it as "bacterial SSU rRNA". It matches the Rfam family "Bacterial small subunit ribosomal RNA", at positions 29 to 521 of the family's 1533-position model. The record is from RNAcentral.
AACGAACGCUGGCGGCAGGCCUAACACAUGCAAGUCGAACGCCGUAGCAAUACGGAGUGGCAGACGGGUGAGUAACGCGUGGGAACAUACCCCUCGGUUCGGAAUAACUCAGGGAAACUUGAGCUAAUACCGGAUACGUCCGAGGUUUUAAUCGACCUUGGAGAAAGAUUUAUCGCCGGAGGAUUGGCCCGCGUCUGAUUAGCUUGUUGGUGAGGUAAUGGCUCACCAAGGCGACGANCAGUAGCUGGUCUGAGAGGAUGAUCAGCCACAUUGGGACUGAGACACGGCCCAAACUCCUACGGGAGGCAGCAGUGGGGAAUAUUGGACAAUGGGCGAAAGCCUGAUCCAGCCAUGCCGCGUGAGUGAUGAAGGCCUUAGGGUUGUAAAGCUCUUUGACCCGGGAAGAUAAUGACGGUACCGGGAGAAUAAGCCCCGGCUAACUUCGUGCCAGCCGCCGCCGU